This is a non-coding RNA of Xyrichtys novacula (pearly razorfish), 8024 nucleotides long. The record is from the annotation of a GenBank genome assembly. NCBI's taxonomy places the organism in Eukaryota, Metazoa, Chordata, Actinopteri, Labriformes, Labridae.
CCGAUCCGCACACAUUGGAAUUUCGCUAACUCCUCCGAAGGCUUUCGUUCCACCGGCACCAAAUUUGCUCAGGCCAAUCUACACCCCAUGGCCAUUAAAAGUUGUACAAAUCAUGACGCUGCAUCCCACGGUUUACGUUCUAGGGGGCGCCAAAGAUAACCCAGAAAUCCACAUUCUUAAAAGUCGUAUAACUUUUUAUUUUUGUCCUCACUGGCCUCCAAGUUUUCUAGGAUGAUGCAAUGUCCAGCCAUCAACACAUUUGUGAAGGAAUUUUUACUCCCCAAAAGAGCGCCCCCCAUGGCAGGAGAAAAAAGUCAAUUUUUUCUUGUCUCCUAAGGCGAAAAUUCACACUAUUGACUGUCACGCCUUUACGCUUUGUCAUAUUGACACAAAAAUUGACACACACAUGUAUCUCAGUAAGAUCUACAAAAAAGUCAGUGCGGGCGUAUCUGUCAAAUGUACGGUGAAAGGGCUAUUUCGCAUUUUUUGCCGAUCCGCACACAUUGGAAUUUCGCUAACUCCUCCGAAGGCUUUCGUUCCAAAGGCACCACAUUUGCUGAGGCCAAUCUACACCCCAUGGCCAUUAAAAGUUGUACAAAUCAUGACGCUGCACCCCACGGUUUACGUUCUAGGGGGCGCCAAAGAUAACCCAAAAAUCCACAGUCUUAAAAGUCUUAUAACUUUUUAUUUUUGUCCUCACUGGCCUCCAAGUUCUCUAGGAUGAUGCAAUGUCCAGCCAUCAACACAUUUGUGAAGGAAUUUUUACUCGCCAAAAGAGCGCCCCCCAUGGCAGGAGAAAAAAGUCCAUUUUUUCUUGUCUCCUAAGGCGAAAAUACACAUUGUUGACUGUCACGCCUUUACGCUUUGUCAAAAUGACACAAAAUUUGACACACACAUGUAUCUCAAUAAGAUCUACAAAAAAGUCAGUGCGGGCGUAUCUGUCAAAUGUACGGUUAAAGGGUUAUUUCGCAUUUUUUGCCGAUCCGCACACAUUGGAAUUUCGCUAACUCCUCCUAAAUCUUUUGUCCCAUCGGCUUCAAAUUUGCUCAGGUCAAUCUACACCCCAUGGCCAUUAAAAGUUGUACAAAUCAUGACGCUGCACCCCACAGUUUACGUUCUAGGGGGCGCCAAAGAGGACCCAAAUAUCCACAUUUUUAAAAGUCGUAUAACUUUUUAUUUUUGUCCUCACUGGCCUCCAAGUUUUCUAGGAUUAUGCAAUGUCCAGCCAUCAACACAUUUGUGAAGGAAUUUUUUCUCCCCAAAAGAGCGCCCCCCCAUGGCAGGAGAAAAAGUCAAGUUUUUCCUGCCCAUCGCUCAAUGGCUCAAACGCAUCGCUCUCUCUGCAAAACCGAAAGGAGGAGCAACUUGCCAUUUGGAUAUAUACUAGCUGUGUUUGUGCCCUCACUCAUGGUCCAGACUUUUUUCAAAUAGGACAUGUAGUUUGUCUGCAGCGAGCGUUUUGGUAGAAACUGCGCCUCCCAUUCAUUAUAAUGGGAAAUGACCACAGACAAGUGCGCACACCAUCUUUGGACCUUGAGUGUGACGCAAUCGGGAGGGGGAGGCGGUCGCGCUGGGGGCGGCGCGACGCGGCUCGGGCCCGACAGUGCCCCACCGGGGCCCUAGUUGUUUCUUUUUUCUUUUUCCUCCCCUUUGAACUGGAAAAUGGCCCACUUCCCACUGGCGAAAACUCAUGAAAUUUGGCAGGACGACCGGGCCUGGUGAAAAAUUUGAUAUUCUGAAGUCGCCCAAACAAUACAAUGCAAAAUGGCUCCAUAGCGCCCCCUAAGGUGAAAAAUUCACCUGACGCCUGUACGCUUUGUCAAAAUGACACAAAAAUUGACACACACAUGUAUCUCAAUAAGAUCUACAAAAAAGUCAGUGCGGGCGUAUCUGUCAAAUGUACGGUUAAAGGGUUAUUGCGCAUUUUUUGCCGAUCCGCACACAUUGGAAUUUCGCUAACUCCUCCGAAGGCUUUCGUUCCACCGGCACCACAUUUGCUCAGGCCAAUCUACACCCCAUGGCCAUUAAAAGUUAUUCAAAUCAUGAUGCUGCACCCCACGAUUUAGGUUCUAGGGGGCGCCAAAGAUAACCCUAAAAUCCACAUAUUUCAAAGUCUUAUAACUUUUUAUUUUUGCCCUCACUGGCCUCCAAGUUUUCUAGGAUGAUGCAAUGUCCAGCCAUCAACACAUUUGUGAAGGAAUUUUUACUCCCCAAAAGAGCGCCCCCCCAUGGCAGGAGAAAAAAGUCCAUUUUUUCUUGUCCCAUAAGGUGAAAAUUCACACUAUUGACUGUCACGCCUGUACGCUUUGUCAAAAUUACACAAAAAUUGACACACACAUGUAUCUCAAUAAGAUCUACAAAAAAGUCAAAAAGCGCGUAUCUGUAUAAUGUACGGUUAAAGGGCUAUUUCGCAUUUUUUGCCGAUUCGCACACAUUGGAAUGUGGCUAUCUCCUCCUAAGGCUUUCGUCCCACCGAUACCAAAUUUGCUCAGGGCAAUCUACACCCCAUGCCCAUUCAAAGUUGUAAAAAUCAUGCCGCUGCACCCCACGGUUUACGUUCUAGGGGACGCCAAAGAUGACCCAAAAAUCCACAUUCUUAAAAGUCAUUUUGGCCACUGCAGGAGUACAGAGUACUGCAGUUUUAGGGGGCGCCAAAGAUGACCCAAAAAUCCACAUUCUUAAAAGUCUUUUUGGCCACUGCAGGAGUACAGAGUACUGCAGGAUACACACACACACACACACACACACACACACACACACACACUCAGAGUCUGUUUUUUAGCACCUGCAAAAACAUGCUGUUUACAUAUUUGACAAGAAUGCAGAGGCUUCCUUUUGCCCCUGAAAAAAAUCAGAUUUCAAACACAACUUGACUGUUCAUUUCUCCAAAAGACAACCAUGAAGCUCCAUCCAAACCUGAAGCAGAUAGUUGGUGCAUGUGUACAGUAACCUGAGGGGAGUGAGGUGACUAUUUCUGAGGAGAACAUGAGCAGUGAAGAUUCACCUUGGAGCUAGAACAGGGACGUGCACAUGAUUAUACAGGGGCAGGGGCUCAAGUUUUUUCCAGUCAUUUAUACAAUAUGGAAAUUAAUGUGAAAUUAAACCACAAAUAUGUGUGAUGAACUGUUUUUAAAACUUAAACUUCAAAUAAAAAUUGUAAACUUCAAAACAUAUGCAAAUUUUUAACAAAGAACAUAGUAAUUUACCUCUAUUUACAUCAAAAUGCAGGCAAUGGCCCAGGCGUUCUUUGUAAAAUUAUUUACAAAACACUGUAUAGUCUCACAAAUGUCACUUUUUAUUUAUGCCACUACAAAAAAACAUGAUGUAAAUGAUGCAUGAUGUAAAACAUGAUGUAAAAAACUUGUGUAGAUCCUCCUCUAUGUCAGUCCAUGUGUAAUUUUUCCAUAAUUCUUUGUUUUUUGCAGCAUUUUUGUUAGUGUAACUGCAGAUUGUGCUGACAGUGUCUAUGGCACAAAAAAAAAAAAAAUUAAAAUGCCUCAACAUGAACCCCUGGUGGUCUCUGAGGGUGAAACCUGCUAACUGCUGCAGCUCUGUCAGCUUCAGUCUCCCAUGCAGAGCUCUGAGCGCAUGUGUGGCUCUGCACCCUUAGCAGCGUUGCUAACUCCUCAGUAGGGAAAGCCUGCUUCAUGUCAGAGUCUCUAAACUCCAGAAGAAGUCGAUAAAAGUCCCUUUCUUUCUAAAAAAAGUCGUUAGGGGGUCUGAAAAGUCAUUGAAUCUAACAACAAAGUCGCUAGGUUUGCAACUACGUGUCCCAGACUGCAUCCCUGCUGAGAGUCCCUCCCUCGCUUCUCAUGUUGCAGGAAGAACGUAAGCUCCCGCCCCUUGUCAAUCAGUCACCAUAUAAUUUUGGAUUGGUUGUUGUGGUGAAGUUUUCCACCAAUAGGAGAGAUGUUGUGGUGUGUUUUUUUUUUCUUUUGGCAAGCCUUUUCCGCCUGUAAGACCUGUCGCUAAUGUCUGCAUGCUAUGUUUUCCUGUCUCAUACAGCGCGAUCGAGCGCCGAACGUGAUCAAAAUAAGCAGAAAAAAAGUAUCGCGGACAUAAUUUAUCAUAACUCUGGUUUUAUUUGGCCUAUCAACACAAUUUAAAAACUGGUAUAUAGGUUGAGGUCCUCACUUUUGAGAUAAGUUGAAACGGAGAGUCAACGAGGCUCCGUCUUGCAGCUACAUCCGGUUAAAUAUGUCAUGUGACUUGAACGCACACACAGACACACACACACGCACACACACACACACACACACACACACUCAGAGUCUGGUUUUUAGCACCUGCAAAAACAUGCUAUUUACAUAUUUGACAAGAAUGCAGAGGCUCCUUUUGCCCCUGAAAAAAAUCAAAUUUCAAACACAACUUGACUGGUCAUUUCUCCAAAAGACAACCAUGAAGCUCCAUCCAAACCUGAAGCAGGCAGUUGGUGCAUGUGUACAGUAACCUGAGGGGAGUGAGGUGACUGCUUCUGAGGAGAACAUGACCAGUGAAGAUUCACCUUGGAGCUAGAACAGAGACAUGCACAUGAUUAUACAGGGGCAGGGGCUCAAGUUUUUUCCAGUCGUUUAUACAAUAUGGAAAUUAAUGUGAAAUUAAAACACAAAGUAUUAAUAGAAAGGUAAUGACUGUCCUGUGUAGGUGACAGUGAUAUCCAAUAGGCUAGGCACUCACGAGGCUGGCUGUGGCAAGUGUAAGUGAAAGCAACACGCACUGGCAGGAAGAACAGCAAACGCCGAUGAAGGAAAAGGGUCUUUGCAGUGAUGGGCGUUACCAGAGAGGGCGAUGGCCAGAGGACACAAAUGGGACGGGGAGGCAGCACGUUGGGGGGGGGGACGCGACACGGCUCGGGCCCGCCAGUGCCCCAACGGGGUCCUAGUUAGGGCCCGAGCCAGCUGCAGAGCAGCCGGGCGUAGGCCCUAUUAUUCCCCAAGUGGUUUUUAGGGCCCGAGCGUAGCUGCUAAGCAGCUGCGAGAGCCCUAUUAUUCCCCAAGUGGUUUUUCUUUGUUUCUUUCUUUCUUUCUUUCUUUCUUUCUUCUUUUUCCUCCCCUUUGAACUGGAAAAUGGCCCACUUCCCACUGGCGAAAACUCAUGAAAUUUGGCAGGACGACCGGGCCUGGUGAAAAAUUCGAUAUUCUGAAGUCGCCCAAACAAUAAAAUGCAAAAUGGCUCCAUAGCGCCCCCUAAGGUGGAAAUUCACACUAUUGACUGUCACGCCUGUACGCUUUGUCAUAUUGACACAAAAAUUGACACACAUAUGUAUCUCAAUAAGAUCUACAAAAAAGUCAGUGCGGCCGUAUCUGUCAAAAUUACGGUUAAAGGGUUAUUACGCAUUUUUUGCCGAUCCGCACACAUUGGAAUUUCGCUAACUCCUCCGAAGGCUUUCGUUCCACCGGCACCACAUUUGCUCAGGCCAAUCUACACCCCAUGGCCAUUAAAAGUUAUUCAAAUCAUGACGCUGCAUCCCACGGUUUAGGUUCUAGGGGGCGCCAAAGAUAACCGUAAAAUCCACAUAUUUAAAAGUCUUAUAACUUUUUAUUUUUGUCCUCACUGGCCUCCAAGUUUUCUAGGAUGAUGCAAUGUCCAGCCAUCAACACAUUUGUGAAGGAAUUUUUACUCCCCAAAAGAGCGCCCCCCCAUGGCAGGAGAAAAAAGUCCAUUUUUUCUUGUCCCCUAAGGUGAAAAUACACAUUGUUGAGUGUCACGCCUGUACGCUUUGUCAUAUUGACACAAAAUUUGACACACACAUGUAUCUCAAUAAGAUCUACGAAAAAGUCAAUGCACGCGUAUCUGUCAAAUGUACGGUUAAAGGGUUAUUCCGCAUUUUUUGCUGAUCAGCACACAUUGGAAUUUCGCUAACUCCUCCUAAGGCUGGCGUUCCACCGGCACCACAUUUGCUCAGGCCAAUCUACACCCCAUGGCCAUUAAAAGUUAUUCAAAUCAUGACGCUGCACCCCACGGUUUAGGUUCUAGGGGGCGCCAAAGAUAACCCUAAAAUCCACAUAUUUCAAAGUCUUAUAACUUUUUAUUUUUGUCCUCACUGGCCUCCAAGUUUUCUAGGAUGAUGCAAUGUCCAGCCAUCAACACAUUUGUGAAGGAAUUUUUACUCCCCAAAAGAGCGCCCCCCCAUGGCAGGAGAAAAAAGUCCAUUUUUUCUUGUCCCAUAAGGUGAAAAAACACAUUGUUGACUGUCAUACCUGUACGCUUUGUCAUAUUGACACAAAAUUUGACACACACAUGUAUCUCAAUAAGAUCUACGAAAAAGUCAAUGCGCGCAUAUCUGUAAAAUGUACGGUUAAAGGGCUAUUUUGCAUUUUUUGCCGAUUCGCACACAUUGGAAUGUGGCUAACUCCUCCUAAGGCUUUCGUCCCACUGACACCAAAUUUGCUCAGGCCAAUCUACACCCCAUGGCCAUUCAAAGUUGUAAAAAUCAUGACGCUGCACCCCACGGUUUACGUUCUAGGGGGCGCCAAAGAUGACCCAAAAAUCCACAUUCUUAAAAGAAUCCACAUCCCCCCCCCUAUGGCAGGAGAAAAAGUCAAGUUUUUCCUGCCCAUCGCUCAAUGGCUCAAUCGCAUCGCUCUCCAGGCAACACCGUAAGGAGGAGCAACCUGGCAUUUCGAUAUAUCAUAGCUGUGUUUGUGCCCUCACUCAUGGUCCAGACUUUUUUCAAAUAGGACAUGAAGUUUGUCUGCAGCGAGUGUUUUGGUAGAAACUGCGCCUCCCAUUCAUUAUAAUGGGAAAUGACCACAGACAAGUGCGCACACCAUCUUUGGUUCUUGAGUGUGACUCGAUCGGGACGGGGAGGCGGUCGCACUGGGGGCGGCGCGACGCGGCUCGGGCCCGACAGUGCCCCACCGGGGCCCUAGUUCUUUGUUUCUUUCUUUCUUUCUUUCUUUCUUCUUUUUCCUCCCCUUUGAACUGGAAAAUGGCCCACUUCCCACUGGCGAAAACUCAUGAAAUUUGGCAGGACGACCGGGCCUGGUGAAAAAUUCGAUAUUCUGAAGUCACCCAAACAAUAAAAUGCAAAAUGGCUCCAUAGCGCCCCCUAAGGUGGAAAUUCACACUAUUGACUGUCACGCCUGUACGCUUUGUCAUAUUGACACAAAAAUUGACACACAUAUGUAUCUCAAUAAGAUCUACAAAAAAGUCAGUGCGGCCGUAUCUGUCAAAUGUACGGUUAAAGGGUUAUUUCGCAUUUUUUGCCGAUCCGCACACAUUGGAAUUUCGCUAACUCCUCCGAAGGCUUUCGUUCCACCGGCACCACAUUUGCUCAGGCCAAUCUACACCCCGUGGCCAUUAAAAGUUAUCAAAAUCAUGACGCUGCACCCCAAGGUUUAGGUUCUAGGGGGCGCCAAAGAUAACCCUAAAAUCCACAUAUUUAAAAGUCUUAUAACUUUUUAUUUUUGUCCUCACUGGCCUCCAAGUUUUCUAGGAUGAUGCAAUGUCCAGCCAUCAACACAUUUGUGAAGGAAUUUUUACUCCCCAAAAGAGCGCCCCCCCAUGGCAGGAGAAAAAACUCCAUUUUUUCUUGUCCCCUAAGGUGAAAAUACACAUUGUUGAGUGUCACGCCUAUACGCUUUGUCAAAAUGACACAAAAAUUGACACACACAUGUAACUCAAUAAGAUCUACGAAAAAGUCAAUGCGCGCGUAUCUGUCAAAUGUACGGUUAAAGGGUUAUUUCGCAUUUUUUGCCGAUCCGCACACAUUGGAAUUUCGCUAACUCCUCCGAAGGCUUUCGUUCCACCGGCACCACAUUUGCUCAGGCCAAUCUACACCCCGUGGCCAUUAAAAGUUAUCAAAAUCAUGACGCUGCACCCCAAGGUUUAGGUUCUAGGGGGCGCCAAAGAUAACCCUAAAAUCCACAUAUUUAAAAGUCUUAUAACUUUUUAUUUUUGUCCUCACUGGCCUCCAAGUUUUCUAGGAUGAUGCAAUGUCCAGCCAUCAACACAUUUGUGAAGGAAUUUUUACUCCCCAAAAGAGCGCCCCCCCAUGGCAGGAGAAAAAAGUCCAUUUUUUC